This 788-nucleotide ribosomal RNA is filed under the name Dothideomycetes sp. TRN 80. RNAcentral's name for it is "SSU rRNA". It matches the Rfam family "Bacterial small subunit ribosomal RNA", at positions 345 to 1193 of the family's 1533-position model. Lineage: Eukaryota; Fungi; Ascomycota; Dothideomycetes. The record is from RNAcentral.
GAACCAGCUAUUUGGUGGAAUGUAAUCGUUUAACGACGUGCAUGUUCACAAAUUUGUGAUAUGUAUCAACUCUGUUGAAUAAAAUUCUGGGUAGAUGAUUGAUGAUGACAAAUAUCUAUUCACAUAUCUUGACCAAUGCUUGUGCCAGCAGUCGCGGCAACACAAGUAAGAUUAGUGUUAUUCAUCUUUAUUAGGUUUAAAGGGUACCUAGACGGCAAAAGCAACUUCUAAAAAGUAUAUCUUUGCUAGAGUUUUAUGUGAGAGGUAAAUAUUAGGACUAUUGGUGUAGAGAUGAAAUUCCUUGAUACUAAUAGAAUGUGUAACGGCGAAGACAACCCUCUAUGUAUAAACUGACGUUGAGGGACGAAGGCUUGGGGAGCAAACAGGAUUAGAUACCCUAGUAGUCCAGGCAGAAAAUCAUGAAUGUUAUAUGUUAGAUUAUAAAUUGGCGUAUAAAUGAAAGUGUAAGCAUUCCACCUCAAGAGUAAUGCGGCAACGCAGGAACUGAAAUCAUUAGACCGUUUCUGAAACCAGUAGUGAAGUAUGUUUUUUAAUUCGAUGACCCUCGAAAAACCUUACCACAAUUUGAAUGGUAUUUAAAUAGCUAUUAUUUUUUUUAUAUUGAUAGUUACUUGGAUAUAACAAGCGUUGCACGGCUGUCUAAAGCUAAUGUCGUGAGAUUUUGGUUAGAUCCAUUAAAUUAGCGUAAUCCCUUGCUUUAUUUACCAACAAUGAGGAUAGUGCUUGGUUGCGUCAGCAACUGGGAUAAUAGGAAGAAGACAAGUCAU